GCCGGCGUAGCUCAACGGUAGAGCACCCGCCUUGUAAGCGGAAGGCUGCAGGUUCAAAUCCUGCCGCCGGCACCA
Molecule: transfer RNA, 75 nt
Filed under: Alphaproteobacteria bacterium
Lineage: Bacteria; Pseudomonadati; Pseudomonadota; Alphaproteobacteria
Also listed under: 1 other name
Description: tRNA-Thr
Rfam family: tRNA
About the family: Transfer RNA (tRNA) molecules are approximately 80 nucleotides in length. Their secondary structure includes four short double-helical elements and three loops (D, anti-codon, and T loops).
Source: RNAcentral